CCUACGGGUGGCAGCAGUGAGGAAUAUUGGUCAAUGGACGAGAGUCUGAACCAGCCAAGUAGCGUGAAGGAUGACUGCCCUAUGGGUUGUAAACUUCUUUUAUAUGGGAAUAAAAUGUUCCACGUGUGGGAUUUUGUAUGUACCAUAUGAAUAAGGAUCGGCUAACUCCGUGCCAGCAGCCGCGGUAAUACGGAGGAUCCGAGCGUUAUCCGGAUUUAUUGGGUUUAAAGGGAGCGUAGGUGGAUUGUUAAGUCAGUUGUGAAAGUUUGCGGCUCAACCGUAAAAGUGCAGUUGAAACUGGCAGUCUUGAGUACAGUAGAGGUGGGCGGAAUGCGUGGUGUAGCGGUGAAAUGCUUAGAUAUCACGAAGAACCCCGAUUGCGAAGGCAGUUCACUGGACUGCAACUGACACUGAGGCUCGAAAGUGUGGGUAUCAAACAGGAUUAGAUACCCCUGUAGUC
Molecule: ribosomal RNA, 460 nt
Filed under: uncultured bacterium
Lineage: Bacteria
Description: partial 16S ribosomal RNA
Rfam family: Bacterial small subunit ribosomal RNA
Source: RNAcentral